This 120-nucleotide ribosomal RNA is filed under the name Helianthus annuus (common sunflower). Lineage: Eukaryota; Viridiplantae; Streptophyta; Magnoliopsida; Asterales; Asteraceae. The record is from RNAcentral.
GGUUGCGAUCAUACCAGCACUAAUGCACUGGAUCUCAUCAGAACUCCAUAGUAAAGCGUGCGUGGGCAAGUGUAGUACUAGGAUGGAUGACCCCCUGGGAAUUCCCCGUGCUACAACUCU